Molecule: ribosomal RNA, 497 nt
Filed under: uncultured bacterium
Lineage: Bacteria
Description: partial 16S ribosomal RNA
Rfam family: Bacterial small subunit ribosomal RNA
Source: RNAcentral
GAUGAACGCUGGCGGCGUGCCUAAUACAUGCAAGUCGAGCGAACAGACGAGGAGCUUGCUCCUCUGACGUUAGCGGCGGACGGGUGAGUAACACGUGGAUAACCUACCUAUAAGACUGGGAUAACUUCGGGAAACAGGAGCUAAUACCGGAUAAUAUAUUGAACCGCAUGGUUCAAUAGUGAAAGACGGUUUUGCUGUCACUUAUAGAUGGAUCAGCGCCGCAUUAGCUAGUUGGUAAGGUAACGGCUUACCAAGGCGACGAUGCGGAGCCGACCUGAGAGCGUGAUCCGCUAGCCUGGAACUGAGACACGGUCCACACUCCUACGGGAGGAAGCAGUAGGGAAUCUUCCGCGAUGGGCCAGUGCCUGACGGUGCAACGUCGCGUGAGUGAUGAAGGUCUUCGGACCGUAAAGCUCUGUUAUCAGUGAAGUACAAAUGUGUAAGUAACUAUGCACGUCUUGACGGUACCUAAUCAGAAAGCCACGGCUAACUACGUG